CCUAAAAAGUAACGGAGGAGUUUAUUAAGGUCGGCUUAGCGCGGAUGGACAUCGCGCUGGACCUGUAAGAGGAAAAGCCGGCUUGACUGUGAGGGGGACAUCCCGAGCAGGUGGGAAACCAGAAUCUAGUGAACCGACCGUGGGCACUCGAUGCCGCGGAAGAUUAACGGAUAAAAGCUACUCCGGGGAUAACAGGCUAGUUCCGUCCAAGCGUCCAUAGCGACGACGGAGUUCGGCACCUCGAUGUCGGCUCAUCUUAUCCUGGGGGUGGAGAAGCUCCCAAGGGUUUGGCUGUUCGCCAAUUAAAAAGGUACGUGAGCUGGGUUCAGACCGUUCAGAAUCUAAAAAGAUUUGGGUUUUGAACAUGUCUGAAUCCGAGGCAAAAGACAUCAAUCACGGCGGCCCUAUAAAGUAAUUUAUAGGUGCUACGCUGACUAAUAUCGGUGAAAUCCGAUUCGCGAAAACGAAGGACAACACCGAGGGAAGCUUAUGUUAUAAUUUGCGUCAUGAAUGUAGAUAUUUUUGACGUAAGAACAGGUGAGCCUCUUGUAAAAAAGAAAAUUGUGCAUGAAAGGUGUGGCAAGGAUCAUAUAGAUGAAGGAAAAUUUGCUCUAUAUAAUCAUAAGAAGCAUCUUUGUCUGUACUGCAAUGAAUUCUUUUUUGGCGAUGAGGAGGCUGUUGGCAUAUAGCCCCGUAGAGACUACACGUCAGCCAUCCUAUUGAGAAAUUGAAGGAUGAAGAUAUAGUCCAAUGCACGCAGUAAUGCGUGGAAACAUGCGUGAGACAGGUUGGUCUCCUAUCUACUACACCCGUUGAUUCUUGAGGGGGGUUCUUCUUAGUACGAGAGGACCGGAAGGAGUUGACCUCUGGUCUACGAGCUCUGCCGCCAGGUGGACCGCUCGGUAGCUAUGUCGAUAAGUGAUAAGCGCUGAAAGCAUCUAAGCGCGAAGCACGCCCCAAGAUUAGGAAUCGUUGAGAUCCGUGGAAGACUACCACGUUGAUAGGCUCUAGGUGUAAGAUCCGUAAGGAUUUCAGCCGAGGAGUACUAAUAGAUCGAAACCGUCUUGUU
This 1069-nucleotide ribosomal RNA is filed under the name Candidatus Omnitrophota bacterium. RNAcentral's name for it is "partial 23S ribosomal RNA". It matches the Rfam family "Bacterial large subunit ribosomal RNA", at positions 2289 to 2925 of the family's 2925-position model. Lineage: Bacteria; Pseudomonadati; Candidatus Omnitrophota. The record is from RNAcentral.